Molecule: signal recognition particle RNA, 360 nt
Filed under: Candidatus Bathyarchaeota archaeon
Lineage: Archaea; Thermoproteati; Candidatus Bathyarchaeota
Description: signal recognition particle sRNA
Rfam family: Archaeal signal recognition particle RNA
Source: RNAcentral
CGGCGGUGGAAGGGCUGGGGAGCUCGGCCUGCCCUCUCAGGAGGUUCUUGCCUCCUGAGCCGCAAACGGUCGUCAUGGCGGGGCCAGCAACCGAGAGGAGCGGCUGGUCGAACGCUGGGCUAGCCAGCUUAAGCGUCGAGGAGGCCUCGCCCCAUGGGGUCGGCAUAGAGGGCCAAGCCUCUCGUAGGAGAGGCCCCAGCCCUCGAGCUAGCCGAACCAGGUCAGGCCCGGGAGAGGAGCGCGCCUCCCUCGAAGGAGCAGCCUUAAGGCUAGGUGUCGGCGUUCAUGGGAACCCGGGGCUGAGAACGCUUAAGCGAGCAGCCUAGCGGGAGGCAAGCCCAUCCUCUUGGGGCAUCGCCG